AGUAAGUCAGGCGGUUGCGGGCGCCGUAAGGCGCGUGAGGAAAGUCCGGGCUCCAUAGAGCGAGGAUGCCGGGUAACGCCCGGUGGAGGCGACUCCAAGGAUAGUGCAACAGAAAAGAAACGCCUUUUGAAAAGGUAAGUGUGGAAAUGUGAGGUAAGAGCUCACACGGGGGCUGGCGACUGUCCCCCGGUGUAAACCCCAUCCGGAGCAACAUCAACGCGGGAAACCAAGCCUGCUCGGCGCUUCCCCGAAUGAUGGCUUGAGCGCAUGAGCAAUUGUGCGCCACAGAUAGAUAACCGCCCAAUACAGAACCCGGCUUAUAGAUUUGCUCA
This 332-nucleotide RNase P RNA is filed under the name chicken gut metagenome. RNAcentral's name for it is "Bacterial RNase P class A". It matches the Rfam family "Bacterial RNase P class A". From Rfam's summary of the family: Ribonuclease P (RNase P) is a ubiquitous endoribonuclease, found in archaea, bacteria and eukarya as well as chloroplasts and mitochondria. Its best characterised activity is the generation of mature 5'-ends of tRNAs by cleaving the 5'-leader elements of precursor-tRNAs. The record is from RNAcentral.